AUGACGGGACGCGCUGCAGCUAUCCUCGUGUUGAUGCUCUCGCUCCCGGCGGCGGCCCAUCUCGUCGCCGCCGACGGCGUUGACGCGGACACCAUCCGCCUCCCCAGCGACGGCGGCGAUGGUCUUGCAACGAACAAGGGAGGCGAGGAGCAGACGCCUCCUGACAAAGUAGUGGCGCCGACGGAGAGCGCUGGCGGCGCCCUCGAAGCAGAGAAGCCGUGGGCGUGCUGCAACAACACCGUGUGCAAGGAGUCGCUCCCGCCGGUGUGCCGCUGCCUGGACAAGGUGAAGGAGUGCGCCGCCGCGUGCGAACUGUGCGAGCCGUCCGGAAUCAACCACGUCUGCAACGACUGGUACCGUGGCGACCCAGGGCCCAUGUGCGCCUAG
RNAcentral lists this ribosomal RNA (387 nucleotides) under Triticum aestivum (bread wheat). RNAcentral describes it as "partial small subunit ribosomal RNA". Lineage: Eukaryota; Viridiplantae; Streptophyta; Magnoliopsida; Poales; Poaceae. The record is from RNAcentral.